CCCUUCUUCCCAUAUAAUCCAAUUAUAUAGCAAUUACUAUCUUGCAGUGCCUCUAAAAGUUGAUCCGAAGCUACUUUAGUCGACUCAAAACAUACAAAAUUUCCGAAAGAGAAGUACUCUAAACCAGGAAUCGGGCUAGAAAAUGACUCAAACUCACAAUUGGUAUUUAGUGUCUUUAUUUUCUUUAGCAUUUCAUUGUAAAACCUAUAUCUUCUCUCACUAUCAAUAGAAGUACACAAGAUUUCCAAAAUUUCCAUUUCUAUUUCCAUCUUCUCUUCCUCUUCCAUCACUUUAUCCACAUCAUUUAGCCAUUCCAUAACAACAUCAUUGACUUUUUCUGUUUUAGUUUUUUCUUCAACUUUUUUCAGCACUAACUCAUGAUUUGAAAUCAACUUCACUUUCUCUUUGAUCACAUUUUCAAUGAUUUUUCCAACUUGAAACAAAUAAAUUCCUUCGCGUAUAAAUGUCCCC
RNAcentral lists this long non-coding RNA (471 nucleotides) under Trifolium pratense (red clover). Its description in RNAcentral is "long non-coding RNA (TPRA_LNC001782)". The record is from RNAcentral. Lineage: Eukaryota; Viridiplantae; Streptophyta; Magnoliopsida; Fabales; Fabaceae.